RNAcentral lists this ribosomal RNA (496 nucleotides) under uncultured bacterium. RNAcentral describes it as "partial 16S ribosomal RNA". It matches the Rfam family "Bacterial small subunit ribosomal RNA", at positions 29 to 507 of the family's 1533-position model. The record is from RNAcentral.
AUGAACGCUGGCGGCGUGCCUAAUACAUGCAAGUCGAGCGAACAGACGAGGAGCUUGCUCCUCUGACGUUAGCGGCGGACGGGUGAGUAACACGUGGAUAACCCACCUAUAAUACUGGGCUAACUUCGGGAAACCGGAGCUAAUACCGGAUAAUAUAUUGAACCGCAUGGUUCAAUAGUGAAAGACGGUUUUGCUGUCACUUAUAGAUGGAUCCGCGCCGCAUUAGCUAGUUGGUAAGGUAACGGCUUACCAAGGCAACGAUGCGUAGCCGACCUGAGAGGGUGAUCGGCCACACUGGAACUGAGACACGGUCCAGACUCCUACGGGAGGCAGCAGUAGGGAAUCUUCCGCAAUGGGCGAAAGCCUGACGGAGCAACGCCGCGUGAGUGAUGAAGGUCUUCGGAUCGUAAAACUCUGUUAUUAGGGAAGAACAAAUGUGUAAGUAACUAUGCACGUCUUGACGGUACCUAAUCAGAAAGCCACGGCUAACUACGUG